This 581-nucleotide ribosomal RNA is filed under the name uncultured bacterium. RNAcentral describes it as "partial 16S ribosomal RNA". It matches the Rfam family "Bacterial small subunit ribosomal RNA", at positions 355 to 932 of the family's 1533-position model. The record is from RNAcentral.
UGGGGAAUUUUGGACAAUGGGCGAAAGCCUGAUCCAGCAAUGCCGCGUGUGUGAAGAAGGCCUUCGGGUUGUAAAGCACUUUUGUCCGGAAAGAAAUCCUUGGCUCUAAUACAGUCGGGGGAUGACGGUACCGGAAGAAUAAGCACCGGCUAACUACGUGCCAGCAGCCGCGGUAAUACGUAGGGUGCAAGCGUUAAUCGGAAUUACUGGGCGUAAAGCGUGCGCAGGCGGUUUGCUAAGACCGAUGUGAAAUCCCCGGGCUCAACCUGGGAACUGCAUUGGUGACUGGCAGGCUAGAGUAUGGCAGAGGGGGGUAGAAUUCCACGUNUAGCAGUGAAAAUGCGUAGAGAUGUGGAGGAAUACCGAUGGCGAAGGCAGCCCCCUGGGCCAAUACUGACGCUCAUGCACGAAAGCGUGGGGAGCAAACAGGAUUAGAUACCCUGGUAGUCCACGCCCUAAAACGAUGUCAACUAGUUGUUGGGGAUUCAUUUCCUUAGUAACGUAGCUAACGCGUGAAGUUGACCGCCUGGGGAGUACGGUCGCAAGAUUAAAACUUAAAGGAAUUGACGGGGUCAUAGCUG